Molecule: transfer RNA, 73 nt
Filed under: Ixodes scapularis (black-legged tick)
Lineage: Eukaryota; Metazoa; Arthropoda; Arachnida; Ixodida; Ixodidae
Rfam family: tRNA
About the family: Transfer RNA (tRNA) molecules are approximately 80 nucleotides in length. Their secondary structure includes four short double-helical elements and three loops (D, anti-codon, and T loops).
Source: Rfam by way of RNAcentral
CCCUGGCUAGCUCAAUCGGUAGAGCGCUCCACUUGUAAUGGAGAGGUCCCGGGUUCGAUACCCGGACCAGGCG